GCGGNAUGCCUAAGACAUGCAAGUCGCACGGUCUGAUUUCGGUCAGAUAGUGGCGGACGGGUGAGUAACACGUAGGUGACCUGCCCUGAAGUCUGGGACAACUAGGAGAAAUCUUAGCUAAUCCCGGAUGUGGACACCGGUCUUGACUGGUGUCUAAAGCUUCGGCGCUUUAGGAUGGGCCUGCGCUGGAUCAGGUAGUUGGUGGGGUAAUGGCCCACCAAGCCGACGACCCAUAGCUGGUCUGAGAGGACGGACGGCCACACUGGGACUGAGACACGGCCCAGACUCCUACGGGAGGCAGCAGUGGGGAAUUUUGCACAAUGGGCGAAAGCCUGAUGCAGCGACGCC
This 348-nucleotide ribosomal RNA is filed under the name uncultured Meiothermus sp. RNAcentral's name for it is "bacterial SSU rRNA". It matches the Rfam family "Bacterial small subunit ribosomal RNA", at positions 39 to 398 of the family's 1533-position model. Lineage: Bacteria; Thermotogati; Deinococcota; Deinococci; Thermales; Thermaceae. The record is from RNAcentral.